GAUGAAGAACGUAGCGAAAUGCGAUAAGUAGUGUGAAUUGCAGAAUUCAGUGAAUCAUCGAAUCUUUGAACGCACAUUGCGCCCCUUGGUAUUCCAUGGGGCAUGCCUGUUCGAGCGUCAUUUGUACCUUCAAGCUUUGCUUGGUGUUGGGUGUUUGUCUCGCCUUUGCGUGUAGACUGGCCUUAAAAUAAUUGGCAGCCGGCGUAUUGAUUUCGGAGCGCAGUACAUCUCGCGCUUUGCACUCAUAACGACAGCGUCCAAAAGUACAUUUUACACUCUUGACCUCGGAUCAGGUAGGGAUACCCGCUGAACUUAAGCAUAUCAAUAAGCGGAGGA
Molecule: unclassified non-coding RNA, 336 nt
Filed under: soil metagenome
Description: partial contains 5.8S ribosomal RNA, internal transcribed spacer 2, and large subunit ribosomal RNA
Rfam family: 5.8S ribosomal RNA (bases 1-120)
Source: RNAcentral